GCCGGAAUAGCUCAAUGGCAGAGCAACUGAUUUGUAAUCAGUAGGUUGCAGGUUCAAGUCCUGUUUUCGGCACCA
RNAcentral lists this transfer RNA (75 nucleotides) under Tenericutes bacterium GWF2_57_13. RNAcentral describes it as "tRNA-Thr". It matches the Rfam family "tRNA". Rfam says of the family: Transfer RNA (tRNA) molecules are approximately 80 nucleotides in length. Their secondary structure includes four short double-helical elements and three loops (D, anti-codon, and T loops). The record is from RNAcentral. Lineage: Bacteria; Bacillati; Mycoplasmatota.